AGAGUUUGAUCAUGGCUCAGGACGAACGCUGGCGGCGUGCUUAACACAUGCAAGUCGAACGGAAAGGCCCUUCGGGGUACUCGAGUGGCGAACGGGUGAGUAACACGUGGGUGAUCUGCCCUGCACUUUGGGAUAAGCCUGGGAAACUGGGUCUAAUACCGAAUAGGACCGCGCGCUUCAUGGUGUGUGGUGGAAAGCUUUUGCGGUGUGGGAUGGGCCCGCGGCCUAUCAGCUUGUUGGUGGGGUAAUGGCCUACCAAGGCGACGACGGGUAGCCGGCCUGAGAGGGUGACCGGCCACACUGGGACUGAGAUACGGCCCAGACUCCUACGGGAGGCAGCAGUGGGGAAUAUUGCACAAUGGGCGCAAGCCUGAUGCAGCGACGCCGCGUGAGGGAUGACGGCCUUCGGGUUGUAAACCUCUUUCACCAGGGACGAAGCGCAAGUGACGGUACCUGGAGAAGAAGCACCGGCCAACUACGUGCCAGCAGCCGCGGUAAUACGUAGGGUGCGAGCGUUGUCCGGAAUUACUGGGCGUAAAGAGCUCGUAGGUGGUUUGUCGCGUUGUUCGUGAAAACUCACAGCUUAACUGUGGGCGUGCGGGCGAUACGGGCAGACUAGAGUACUGCAGGGGAGACUGGAAUUCCUGGUGUAGCGGUGGAAUGCGCAGAUAUCAGGAGGAACACCGGUGGCGAAGGCGGGUCUCUGGGCAGUAACUGACGCUGAGGAGCGAAAGCGUGGGGAGCGAACAGGAUUAGAUACCCCGGUAGUCC
This 771-nucleotide ribosomal RNA is filed under the name uncultured bacterium. RNAcentral's name for it is "bacterial SSU rRNA". It matches the Rfam family "Bacterial small subunit ribosomal RNA", at positions 8 to 796 of the family's 1533-position model. The record is from RNAcentral.